UGGAGGCUGGUGCCUGGGCCAGUGACGUAACUGGCAACCUCCGCCCUCAAGCUUUGACGUCACUGAUGCCCUCAAAUGCGCGUGACCAGGUAAGUUUUUCUCAAGGUGUAACAUUACGGAAGAGCUUGUCGAAAAGAUGUAAUCGAAAAAAAAAAUCCUGAUCCGAGUUUGCGUAAGUCUGAUAUCGAAUAGCACAAGGUCAUCUUUGUCGUAAAAAGAAAAAAAAAAUUAAUCAAGUCUUUCACGUUGUUUCUUUUAGGAUCACAGACACAAGAUUUUAUCAUGUAAUAAUAAAAUUAAAUUUUAAUUUAAUAAACAAAGGAAAAGUUUAAA
Molecule: long non-coding RNA, 333 nt
Filed under: Polistes fuscatus (common paper wasp)
Lineage: Eukaryota; Metazoa; Arthropoda; Insecta; Hymenoptera; Vespidae
Description: uncharacterized LOC122519570
Source: RNAcentral